Molecule: ribosomal RNA, 289 nt
Filed under: uncultured Chloroflexota bacterium
Lineage: Bacteria; Bacillati; Chloroflexota
Description: uncultured Chloroflexi bacterium partial 16S ribosomal RNA
Rfam family: Bacterial small subunit ribosomal RNA
Source: RNAcentral
GAUGAACGCUGGCGGCGUGCCUAAUACAUGCAAGUCGAACGAGGUGCCUUUGUAGCAAUACGAGGGUAUCCUAGUGGCGAACGGGUGAGUAACGCGUUGGUGACCUGCCCCGAAGUGUGGGAUAACAGUCCGAAAGGAUUGCUAAUACCGCAUGUGAUCAUUGGGUUUAGAAGCCGAUGAUUAAAGGAGAAAUUCGCUUCGGGAGGGAUCUACGUCCCAUCAGCUAGUUGGUAGGGUAACGGCCUACCAAGGCGACGACGGGUAGGGGACCUGAGAGGGUGGACCCCCG